Molecule: non-coding RNA, 114 nt
Organism: Acanthosepion pharaonis
Lineage: Eukaryota; Metazoa; Mollusca; Cephalopoda; Sepiida; Sepiidae
Source: the annotation of a GenBank genome assembly
UUACGGCCAUAUCAGGAUGAAACACCAGCUCUCUUACGAUUACCGAAGUUAAGCAACAUCGAGUCAGGUCAGUACCUGAAUGUGUGACUGCUUAGGAAUACCAGGUACUGUAAG